GCGGGAGUGGGCGAAAUUGGUAGACGCAACAGAUUUAGGUUCUGGCGCCGCAAGUGUGCGAGUUCAAGUCUCGCCUCCCGCACCA
RNAcentral lists this transfer RNA (85 nucleotides) under Escherichia coli. Its description in RNAcentral is "tRNA-Leu". It matches the Rfam family "tRNA". Rfam says of the family: Transfer RNA (tRNA) molecules are approximately 80 nucleotides in length. Their secondary structure includes four short double-helical elements and three loops (D, anti-codon, and T loops). Further hydrogen bonds mediate the characteristic L-shaped molecular structure. tRNAs have two regions of fundamental functional importance: the anti-codon, which is responsible for specific mRNA codon recognition, and the 3' end, to which the tRNAs corresponding amino acid is attached (by aminoacyl-tRNA synthetases). tRNAs cope with the degeneracy of the genetic code in two manners: having more than one tRNA (with a specific anti-codon) for a particular amino acid; and 'wobble' base-pairing, i.e. permitting non-standard base-pairing at the 3rd anti-codon position. Lineage: Bacteria; Pseudomonadati; Pseudomonadota; Gammaproteobacteria; Enterobacterales; Enterobacteriaceae. The record is from RNAcentral.